RNAcentral lists this ribosomal RNA (387 nucleotides) under Hepatozoon felis. RNAcentral describes it as "SSU rRNA". It matches the Rfam family "Eukaryotic small subunit ribosomal RNA", at positions 469 to 859 of the family's 1831-position model. The record is from RNAcentral. Lineage: Eukaryota; Apicomplexa; Hepatozoidae.
GUGACAAGAAAUAACAAUACAAGGCAGUUAAAAUAGCUUUGUAAUUGGAAUAGGAUAGAAAUUUAAACACUUUUUAAAGUAUCAAUUGGAGGGCAAGUCUGGUGCCAGCAGCCGCGGUAAUUCCAGCUCCAAUAGCGUAUAUUAAAAUUGUUGCAGUUAAAAAGCUCGUAGUUGAAUUUCUGCUAAAAAUAACCGGUCUGCUUUUAAUAAAGGUGGUAUCUUGGUGUGUUUUUAGCAAUAAUGUCCUUUGAAAUGUUUUUUACUUCAUUGUAAUAAAUUAUAUUUAGGAUUUUUACUUUGARAAAAUUAGAGUGUUUCUAGCAGGCUAAUGCUUUGAAUACUGCAGCAUGGAAUAAUAAAAUAGGAUUUUGGUUCUACAUUAUUGUU